This 222-nucleotide non-coding RNA is filed under the name Shewanella pealeana. RNAcentral describes it as "Lysine sequence". It matches the Rfam family "Lysine riboswitch aptamer". Rfam says of the family: Riboswitches are metabolite binding domains within certain messenger RNAs that serve as precision sensors for their corresponding targets. Allosteric rearrangement of mRNA structure is mediated by ligand binding, and this results in modulation of gene expression. Lineage: Bacteria; Pseudomonadati; Pseudomonadota; Gammaproteobacteria; Alteromonadales; Shewanellaceae. RNAcentral also lists the same sequence under 1 other name. The record is from RNAcentral.
CUGAGAAGUAGAGGUGCAUUAAAUAUCAGUAUCGAUAAGUAGGGUGAUGCCGCUGAUCUAUCGAGAAAGGAUUUGAUGCCGAAGUGACAUAGCAUAUCGGGGCUAGUUGCUGGGGCUGUGACCAAAUAGGGACAGCACUGCCAUAGUAUUUCUUAUCUGGAAGAUAAGAAUUUUUAUAUUAAUGACGAACCAUUAAUAUGGCUAUGGAGCGCUACUGAUAGG